UACGGAGGGUGCGAGCGUUAAUCGGAAUUACUGGGCGUAAAGCGUGCGUAGGCGGCUUGCCAAGCCAGAUGUGAAAGCCCCGGGCUCAACCUGGGAACGGCAUUUGGAACUGGUAGGCUAGAGUUAGGUAGAGGGGAGUGGAAUUUCAGGUGUAGCGGUGAAAUGCGUAGAUAUCUGAAGGAACACCAGUGGCGAAGGCGGCUCCCUGGACCCAAACUGACGCUGAGGUACGAAAGCGUGGGUAGCAAACAGG
RNAcentral lists this ribosomal RNA (253 nucleotides) under uncultured Methylosoma sp. RNAcentral's name for it is "partial 16S ribosomal RNA". It matches the Rfam family "Bacterial small subunit ribosomal RNA", at positions 524 to 776 of the family's 1533-position model. Lineage: Bacteria; Pseudomonadati; Pseudomonadota; Gammaproteobacteria; Methylococcales; Methylococcaceae. The record is from RNAcentral.